RNAcentral lists this ribosomal RNA (305 nucleotides) under uncultured bacterium. Its description in RNAcentral is "bacterial SSU rRNA". It matches the Rfam family "Bacterial small subunit ribosomal RNA", at positions 334 to 637 of the family's 1533-position model. The record is from RNAcentral.
UUCGCCUACGGGACGCAGCAUUUAUUCCUCUUGGUCCCUUUUCUCGAGCCUGAACCAGCCAAGUCGCGUGAGGGAAGACGGUCCUAUGGAUUGUAAACCUCUUUUGUCGGGGAGCAAAAGACGCCACGUGUGGCGUUCCGAGAGUACCCGAAGAAAAAGCAUCGGCUAACUCCGUGCCAGCAGCCGCGGUAAUACGGAGGAUGCGAGCGUUAUCCGGAUUUAUUGGGUUUAAAGGGUGCGCAGGCGGAAGAUCAAGUCAGCGGUAAAAUUGAGAGGCUCAACCUCUUCGAGACGUUGAAACUGGU